This 262-nucleotide unclassified non-coding RNA is filed under the name plant metagenome. RNAcentral describes it as "partial contains small subunit ribosomal RNA, internal transcribed spacer 1, and 5.8S ribosomal RNA". The stretch from base 1 to 53 matches the Rfam family "Eukaryotic small subunit ribosomal RNA", at positions 1778 to 1831 of the family's 1831-position model. The record is from RNAcentral.
GGAAGUAAAAUCGUAACAAGGUUUCCGUAGGUGAACCUGCGGAAGGAUCAUUAUUGAAUGAAACACUUCUGGCUUUAUGCUGUUGUGCUGGCCCUUUGGGCAAUGUGCACACGGCUCUGGUCACUUGUUUCUUCUGUUCCACCUGUGCACUGCCUGUAGACACGCUGUGUCUAUGAUAUUUGUUAACACACAACAAUGUUAGUUGGCAUGUUAUAUAUAAUAAUAAAAUAUACAACUUUCAACAACGGAUCUCUUGGCUCUC